This is an RNA transcript of Notolabrus celidotus (New Zealand spotty), 3127 nucleotides long. It is a transcript of the gene named spindlin-1-like, with no coding region annotated. The transcript has 5 exons. NCBI's taxonomy places the organism in Eukaryota, Metazoa, Chordata, Actinopteri, Labriformes, Labridae. The record is from RefSeq and is a predicted model, not a curated record.
UAAAACAUCAACUCCCAUGGUGCAUUGCGUGUGUGUUCAUGUCGUCUUCUGCGGCCAUAGAAACCAGAGGCUCGCCGGGAAGUGGAGUGUCUUUUCCUAUCUCCCAUUUUCCACAGGUUUCGCGAGAUUUUCAUAGGCAGAUGGUGUGUGGCAACAUUUCUCUGCCAGACGAACUGAACAAUACUGAUAUGAAAACUGCGUAAAGUUGCCUUUGAAUUUCAGGAGGCAUGUCCAAGAAAAGGGGCAGAAAGCGGAGUAGUGGGGAACUGAGUGAUACAUUGACCCCAGACCCUAACAGCAUUUUGGGAGUCCGCAUUCAGCAUAACUGGCGUGAGAAGGGAAAUCAAAGCAAAUGGAAGGGAACAGUCCUGGACAGGCUAAGUGUGAACCCCUCUCUCUUCAUGGUGAAGUACGAUGGAUUUGACUGCGUCUAUGGCAUUGAGUUGUUCAAGGACGACAGAGUGUCGAACCUACAAGUUCUAGCUGAAAAAGUUGCUUUGUCUCCACAGUAAAUAACAAGUUAAAGAUUCCUCCCGGGGCUGAGGAGCUGGUGGGCAAAGCUGUGGAGCAUCUGUUUGAAAAGGAGGAUGGAGAGAAGAAUGAGUGGAGAGGCAUGGUCCUCUCAAGGGCUCCAAUAAUGACCAACUGGUAUUACAUCACUUAUGAAAAGGACCCCGUUCUUUAUAUGUACCAGCUGUGGGACGACUACGCUGAUGGAGACCUCAGAAUUUUGCCUGAAGCAGAGAAUAAGCACCUGUUGCCUGCAGACAGGAAGCCAGGGGAAGAGACGGAGAGCCUGGUGGGAAAACAAGUAGAGUAUGUUACCGACAAGGGUGUUAAGAGAACAGGCCUGGUGAUCUACCAGGUCCCAGCCAAGCCCUCUGUCUACUACAUCAAAUAUGAUGAUGACUAUCAUAUCCAUGUCUACGACCUGGUCAAAACCACCUAGAGAUAGUGGACAUUUUAUCUCACUCUCCAGCCUCCGUCCAUGUGCUUCUGUUCCACUCAUUGUUAUAAAUCUUGUUAUUAAAGCCAUGCCUGGGUUGUUAAGUUAAUAUGCUUUAUUGUUCAAAAGAAAGUGCAAUCUGCUUUUCAUAGACACAGCAGAACUGUAGCACAGCUAUGCUUGGCGGUUUCCAGGAGAGGGACUUGUUUUACUUGUUGCUGCUCUUACUUUGUACUUAGGACAGUCCAAAAUUGCACUGCCCAACAGCUGCAAGGUGCAGUUGUUACUGCAUUUGCAUUGUUGUCCCUGAGAUACUUUAUUGAUCUGUCCUUUAAGUAUAUUUAUCUAAAAAAAAAUCCCUGUAUGACCAAAAAGAAGCUCAAAAUAUCCUUUUGAAGACACCUUUUCUGUUUAUCAGCUAAGUAGCUGUAAGGCUAAGCCCGUGUACAUUGGUACAAAAAGUUCCUUUUAACCCUUUGGUUACCCAAAGCAUUAAAAUUAAUACUACUUAUAUGCAACUUUAUGUACCAAAAUGUGUGUUUAUACAUAAUAAGUUUAAACACAAAUAUGCUUCAGUGGAGAAGAUGAUUUCAGGCAUGUCAUGUGGUCGUAUCUUUCUUUGAAUGUACAACAUGGUAACUUAAAAAAGAUUAAAACAUGUUUUAACUUAUUUGACAACUUGCCAUUACAUUUAGCAGCACACUUAACAAACUGGUAUUUUUCUUUUGUUGUCUUCUGGUGCAUUUUUGUACCCAAAGGAGAAAAAUGUAUGUAGUGGUGCAUUUUUUGUCAUUGUCUUCUGAAAGCUGAAUUAUUGCAAAAUAGCCUAUACAAAUCUAAAACCUCUGAGUUUUCCCAAAAGCCUAAUUUUCAGUUUGAAAACAAAAGUCCAGGACCCAAAGAAAAGGCUGUUUUUAAAAUGACCUGUGUGUGUGUGUGUGGACGUGUCCUUACUAGGACAUUAACGCACGUACUGGGUUUUCAAUUGAUGCCUUCUACUGAGGCGUGUAUAAAAUCAUAUGAAUCCCCUCCUCUAAAGAGGAAAUGUACUCUUGCACCUUUGCACCAUGCCUUGUAUCAGAUCAGAUCAUUUUUUUCUGGUAAUGAAAUUGCACUUUGCUAAAUUCCAAUCUAAAAUUUGAUCACACAAAAAUCAUAAAGUGCCUUCUGGCUGGCUAAGUUGCAAUACUGUACAUACUGUAUCUGACUAGCUACGCACUUAAUGAGCUGUUGUGUGUGAAGGCUGCUGUUUAGUUUUCAUUUCGAGAUGAUGACAAUGACAGCUUUAGAUACGUUUUGCAAACAUCAGUUUAUAUUAGUGCUGUGUUUUCCUCUUAAUGCAGUAUGGAAAUGGUCUUUAAAUAUAACACGCAUUAUCAUUGGUUCUAUAAUCUCACUGUUGAUAUUGUGGGGAGCACUUUAUUGUAUAAAGUUUACAUGUUCUGGUUAGUUAUGGUCCUCUACAUUGCUUCCCAUGAAUGUUUUAUUCGUGAGAGCACAUGUGGCAGAAUAAAUGUCAUGUAAAACAUGCAUGAAGAAUGAAAGACAAAAAAAACACUAUUUAAUAUGUACAACUUGUGUAUAAUGCCAUGUAAUGUUGCCUGUUGUGACUAUUCUCAUUUAUAGGAAUAUCUCAUGAAAACACCACCAGCGUUUAGUUAAAUGGUCAUUCAUAUAAAUUAUAAACUGGAUAUUUAACAUGUAUAAUCAACUGACAAACUAGUGUGUUUACAGUAUCUAACUCACUCUAGUUCUAGUCAUUAUAACUUUGUCUUGCAAAAGUAUGCUUCUUGUGCGUAUUUCAUCCCCAACUUUGUCACCAUGUACUUUGUUGCUUUAAUUUCUAGCUUUCAAAACUCUGCAUGUGUCAUCCGCACAGAGUGCCUGGAGAUUUGAAAACCUUAAUUUUGACAAUAGGGAAGUGCCAAUGUGUGGCAGAAUCAGUGCUGUUUGUCAAACCCAUUUUAAGCAGGGGGGGGGGGGGGGGGGGGGUAAAGGCUUAAACUUUACAUCACCAUUAAAGGUGCUGUGGAGUGUUUCAGUGUUGUGUAAAGUUUCAACUGACUUUAUGUGCUCUUCUGCAUUCUUUUGAUCACCUCUUAUUCAGAAGUUGUAGCGACAUCAACAGACCACUGGUGUCAUUAUUAUGCUGUCAGAAGAAAUAAAGAAUUUUGCACAUUU